AUUGAACGCUCGCGGGAUGCUUUACACAUGCAAGUCGAACGGCAGCGCGGACUUCGGUCUGGCGGCGAGUGGCGAACGGGUGAGUAAUGUAUCGGAACGUGCCCAGUAGCGGGGGAUAACUACGCGAAAGCGUAGCUAAUACCGCAUACGCCCUACGGGGGAAAGCCGUGGAUCGUAAGACCUUGCACUAUUGGAGCGGCCGAUAUCGGAUUAGCUAGUUGGUGAGGUAACGGCUCACCAAGGCGACGAUCCGUAGCUGGUUUGAGAGGACGACCAGCCACACUGGGACUGAGACACGGCCCAGACUCCUACGGGAGGCAGCAGUGGGGAAUUUUGGACAAUGGGGGCAACCCUGAUCCAGCCAUCCCGCGUGUGCGAUGAAGGCCUUCGGGUUGUAAAGCACUUUUGGCAGGAAAGAAACGUCGCGGGCUAAUACCCCGUGGAACUGACGGUACCUGCAGAAUAAGCACCGGCUAACUACGUG
This 484-nucleotide ribosomal RNA is filed under the name uncultured bacterium. RNAcentral describes it as "partial 16S ribosomal RNA". It matches the Rfam family "Bacterial small subunit ribosomal RNA", at positions 30 to 507 of the family's 1533-position model. The record is from RNAcentral.